UCAAGCUACAAAGGGCGCAUGGUGAAUGCCUUGGCAUCAGGAGCCGAUGAAGGACGUGAUAAGCUGCGAUAAGCUUCGGGUAGGCGCACAUAGCCUGAGAUCCGAAGAUCUCCGAAUGAGGAAACUCACAUGGGAAACCCCAUGUAUCAUUAAGUGAAUACAUAGCUUAAUGAAGGUAACCCAGGGAACUGAAACAUCUAAGUACCUGGAGGAAGAGAAAGAAAAAUCGAUUUUCUUAGUAGCGGCGAGCGAAAGGGAAAGAGCCCAAACCGGAAACUUGUUUCCGGGGUUGUGGACAUAGCAUGAAAGUGGAGGCUAUUGUAACUGAAGAGAACUGGAAAGUUCCACCGUAGAAGGUAAUAGUCCUGUAAGUGAAACGAGAAGACCACGAGUUAUGAUCCAGAGUACCACGAGACACGUGAAACCUUGUGGGAAGCAGGGAGGACCACCUCCCAAGGCUAAAUACUACCUGAUGACCGAUAGUGAAGCAGUACCGUGAGGGAAAGGUGAAAAGAACCCCGGGAGGGGAGUGAAAUAGAACCUGAAACCGUGUGCCUACAACCGCUCAGAGCCCCUUAUGAGGGUGAUGAGGUGCUUUUUGUAGAACGAGCCAACGAGUUACGGUAUGUAGCAAGGUUAAGUACUUAAGGUACGGAGCCGAAGGGAAACCGAGUCUGAAUAGGGCGACUAGUUGCAUGCCGUAGACCCGAAACCGGGUGACCUAUCCAUGGCCAGGUUGAAGCGAGGGUAAAACCUCGUGGAGGACCGAACCACGUUGCUGUUGAAAAAGCAUGGGAUGAGCUGUGGAUAGCGGAGAAAUUCCAAUCGAACCCGGAGAUAGCUGGUUCUCUCCGAAAUAGCUUUAGGGCUAGCGUCGAGUAUGAGUAGUGGAGGUAGAGCACUGAAUGGGCUAGGGGGCAUAGCGCUUACCGAACCUUAUCAAACUCCGAAUGCCACAUACUUUGAGCUCGGCAGUCAGACUACGAAUGAUAAGAUCCGUGGUCAAAAGGGAAACAGCCCAGAUCGUCAGCUAAGGUCCCAAAGUGUAAGUUAAGUGGGAAAGGAUGUGAGAUUUCUAAGACAACUAGGAUGUUGGCUUAGAAGCAGCCAUUCAUUAAAAGAGUGCGUAAUAGCUCACUAGUCGAGAGAUCUUGCGCCGAAAAUGUAACGGGGCUAAACUUACCACCGAAGCUACGGGCUUGAACUUAGUUCAAGCGGUAGGAGAGCGUCGUAACCGGGCUGAAGUCGUACCGUAAGGAGCGGUGGACUGGUUACGAGUGAGAAUGUUGGCAUCAGUAGCGAGAUGUGGGUGAGAAUCCCACAGGCCGAAAACCUAAGGUUUCCUCAGGAAGGUUCGUCCGCUGAGGGUUAGUCGGGACCUAAGCCGAGGCCGAAAGGCGUAGGUGAUGGACAACUGGUUGAUAUUCCAGUACCACUACCAUCGUUAUUAUCGAUGGCGUGACGCAGGAGGAUAGUGUGUGCUAGCUAUUGGAUGCUAGUCUAAGCGUUUAGGCAGUGAGAGUAGGCAAAUCCGCUCUCAUAAUGCUGAGGCGUGAUGGGGAAGGUUCUACGGAACCGAAGUACAUGAUUCCACGCUGCCAAGAAAAGCGUCUAGAGAGAGAAGUAGUGCCCGUACCGCAAACCGACACAGGUAGGUGAGGAGAGAAUCCUAAGGCCGGCGGAAGAAUUACAGUUAAGGAACUCGGCAAAUUGACCCCGUAAGUUCGCGAGAAGGGGUGCCUACGAGAGUAGGCCGCAGAGAAUAGGCCCAAGCAACUGUUUAGCAAAAACACAGGUCUCUGCUAAAGCGUAAGCUGAUGUAUAGGGGCUGACGCCUGCCCGGUGCUGGAAGGUUAAGGGGAACACUUAGCGCAAGCGAAGGUGUGAACUUAAGCCCCAGUAAACGGCGGCCGUAACUAUAACGGUCCUAAGGUAGCGAAAUUCCUUGUCAGGUAAGUUCUGACCCGCACGAAUGGCGUAAUGACUUGGGCACUGUCUCAACUGUAAAUCCGGCGAAGUUGUAGUGCGAGUGAAGAUGCUCGCUACCCGCGAUUGGACGGAAAGACCCCGUAGAGCUUUACUGUAGCUUAGCAUUGAGUUUUGGUAUUGUCUGUACAGGAUAGGUGGGAGACUAGGAAACCAGGGCGUCAGCCUUGGUGGAGUCAACCUUGGGAUACCACCCUGACAGUACUGAAAUUCUAACUGGCGGCCAUGAAUCUGGUCACAGGACAUUGUUAGGUGGGCAGUUUGACUGGGGCGGUCGCCUCCUAAAAAGUAACGGAGGCGCCCAAAGGUUCCCUCAGAACGGUCGGAAAUCGUUCGAAGAGUGCAAAGGCAGAAGGGAGCCUGACUGCGACACCCACAAGUGGAGCAGGGACGAAAGUCGGGCUUAGUGAUCCGGUGGUACCUCGUGGGAGGGCCAUCGCUCAACGGAUAAAAGCUACCUCGGGGAUAACAGGCUGAUCUCCCCCAAGAGUCCACAUCGACGGGGAGGUUUGGCACCUCGAUGUCGGCUCGUCGCAUCCUGGGGCUGAAGUAGGUCCCAAGGGUUGGGCUGUUCGCCCAUUAAAGCGGCACGCGAGCUGGGUUCAGAACGUCGUGAGACAGUUCGGUCCCUAUCCGUCGCGGGCGUAGGAAAUUUGAGAGGAGCUGUCCUUAGUACGAGAGGACCGGGAUGGACUGACCUCUGGUGUACCAGUUGUUCCGCCAGGAGCACAGCUGGGUAGCUAAGUCGGGAAUGGAUAAACGCUGAAAGCAUCUAAGCGUGAAGCCAACCUCAAGAUGAGAUUUCCCAUAGCGUAAGCUAGUAAGAUCCCUUGAAGAACACAAGGUUGAUAGGUCGGGGGUGUAAGCAUGGUAACAUGUUCAGCUGACCGAUACUAAUAGAUCGAGGGCUUGACCAA
RNAcentral lists this ribosomal RNA (2903 nucleotides) under Clostridium perfringens. RNAcentral describes it as "bacterial LSU rRNA". It matches the Rfam family "Bacterial large subunit ribosomal RNA". RNAcentral also lists the same sequence under 1 other name. Lineage: Bacteria; Bacillati; Bacillota; Clostridia; Eubacteriales; Clostridiaceae. The record is from RNAcentral.